This 448-nucleotide ribosomal RNA is filed under the name Globigerinoides ruber ruber. RNAcentral describes it as "SSU rRNA". It matches the Rfam family "Eukaryotic small subunit ribosomal RNA", at positions 1237 to 1517 of the family's 1831-position model. Lineage: Eukaryota; Foraminifera; Rotaliida; Globigerinidae. The record is from RNAcentral.
GGUUUUAAACCUAAUGGCUCUUUCAUGAUUAUAUGAUAGGUGGUGCAUGGCCGUUCUUAGUUCGUGGAGUGAUCUGUCUGCUUAAUUGCGUUUCAAAUUUUUAUUUGAGGACCAGGUUUUGGUUUGGGUAGUGGUCCUACGAUGACUGUGAACUGUCAUGUCUUCGGAUGUGCGACUAUCGGUCUAGGAUCGCAUCUCAGCCCCUGGGACUCUUUUGAACGCAACGGACGUGAUUGCAACCCCUUGUUGAGAUUAGAGGAGUCUCGAUAUUCAUUGGCCAAACUUACCGCUUCGAGCUUGCUCGUGCAGUUUUGUUAGCCGGUGGAUAAACUCGGGGGACUGCUGACUAUAACCAUUUCUCAAAACAGAGGAAGGUUGCGGCAAUAACAGGUCUGUGAUGCCCUUAGAUGUCCCGGGCUGCACACGUGCUACAAUGAGUGGCGCAAUG